RNAcentral lists this long non-coding RNA (461 nucleotides) under Macaca nemestrina (pig-tailed macaque). RNAcentral describes it as "lncRNA (ENSMNEG00000046084.1)". Lineage: Eukaryota; Metazoa; Chordata; Mammalia; Primates; Cercopithecidae. The record is from RNAcentral.
AAUGAGGCACCUUAAUUUUUGCUCAUAAUAACUUUUUUAGGUACCCCACGGUUUACUUGAAGUACUAAAACAACAUUUAGCUUCUUUGGAAGAGAAAAAUGACACUUUACCUCCUUACUGUGUGCCUCAUAUUUAUUGUGAUCUUUUAACUCUCCAACCUGCAUUGACUCCAUCCUUCCCAAAUAGUCCAGUUGUGACAGCUUCAGCAAGCAGAGCUUGGUUUGCAGAUUAUUUUGACUACAUGAUACAUUACAACCAUCAUUAUCUUCGCAAGCCCACGAACCUGUUGGAACCAGACAGCAAGGUGGAACGAUUAUAGCAAACAACCUAAAUGGCUCACCUGCUAGCCUUGUAGGAAAUUUUAACUUUGAAGAAAUCCCAGUCAACAGGUAAGUUUUUAUUAUUUAAGAAAAGACAGAGAGGGAUGGCUGGGCAGGAAAGAAAAAAAAAAAGGACAACCA